GAGGUGGGGAAACCGAGGUUAGGCUUCUAACUUAAAUCUCAAGCAAUGGAAUUUGUUUCUACCUCU
This 66-nucleotide transfer RNA is filed under the name Aplosonyx pictus. RNAcentral describes it as "tRNA-Ser". Lineage: Eukaryota; Metazoa; Arthropoda; Insecta; Coleoptera; Chrysomelidae. The record is from RNAcentral.